UACGUAGGGUGCGAACGUUGUCCGGAAUUAUUGGGCGUAAAGGGCUCGUAGGCGGUCUGUCACGUCGAAAGUGAAAACUCAGGGCUUAACCCUGAGCCUGCUUCCGAUACGGGCAGACUAGAGGUAUGCAGGGGAGAAUGGAAUUCCUGGUGUAGCGGUGAAAUGCGCAGAUAUCAGGAGGAACACCAGUGGCGAAGGCGGUUCUCUGGGCAUUACCUGACGCUGAGGAGCGAAAGUGUGGGGAGCGAACAGG
RNAcentral lists this ribosomal RNA (253 nucleotides) under uncultured bacterium. Its description in RNAcentral is "partial 16S ribosomal RNA". It matches the Rfam family "Bacterial small subunit ribosomal RNA", at positions 524 to 776 of the family's 1533-position model. The record is from RNAcentral.